This 599-nucleotide small RNA is filed under the name Pongo abelii (Sumatran orangutan). RNAcentral's name for it is "retained intron". Lineage: Eukaryota; Metazoa; Chordata; Mammalia; Primates; Hominidae. The record is from RNAcentral.
CUGUCCUUUCCGCGCUAUCUGCAGAGGGAUCCAUACGGCGUUGUUCUGGAUUCCCGUCGUAACUUAAAGGGAAACUUUCACAAUGUCCGGAGCCCUUGAUGUCCUGCAAAUGAAGGAGGAGGAUGUCCUUAAGUUCCUUGCAGCAGGAACCCACUUAGGUGGCACCAAUCUUGACUUCCAGAUGGAACAGUACAUCUAUAAAAGGAAAAGUGAUGGCAUCUAUAUCAUAAAUCUGAAGAGGACGUGGGAGAAGCUUCUGUUGGCAGCUCGUGCUAUUGUUGCCAUUGAAAACCCUGCUGAUGUCAGUGUUAUAUCCUCCAGGAAUACUGGCCAGGUUUGUGGAACAGUGGUUAGUUUUUAUAUUAUAGAAAUAAAGCUUACAGACAUUGUGAGACGUACAGAAAGAUAUAAGAAAAUAGAAAUAACUCAGGCUGGGCGAGGUGGCUCACACCUGUAAUCCCAGCACUUUGGGAGGUGGAGUCGGGCUGAUUACAAGGUCAGGAGAUCCACACCACAGUGAAACCCCGUCUCUACUAAAAAUACAAAAAAUUAGUGGGGCAUGAUGGCGGGUGCCUGUAGUCCCAGCUACUUGGGAGGCU